GAUGAACGCUGGCGGCGUGCCUAAUACAUGCAAGUCGAGCGAACAGACGAGGAGCUUGCUCCUCUGACGUUAGCGGCGGACGGGUGAGUAACACGUGGAUAACCUACCUAUAAGACUGGGAUAACUUCGGGAAACCGGAGCUAAUACCGGAUAAUAUAUUGAACCGCAUGGUUCAAUAGUGAAAGACGGUUUUGCUGUCACUUAUAGAUGGAUCCGCGCCGCAUUAGCUAGUUGGUAAGGUAACGGCUUACCAAGGCAACGAUGCGUAGCCGACCUGAGAGGGUGAUCGGCCACACUGGAACUGAGACACGGCCCAGACUCCUACGGGAGGCAGCAGUAGGGAAUCUUCCGCAAUGGGCGAAAGCCUGACGGAGCAACGCCGCGUGAGUGAUGAAGGUCUUCGGAUCGUAAAACUCUGUUAUUAGGGAAGAACAAAUGUGUAAGUAACUAGGCACGUCUUGACGGUACCUAAUCAGAAAGCCACGGCUAACUACGUG
This 497-nucleotide ribosomal RNA is filed under the name uncultured bacterium. Its description in RNAcentral is "partial 16S ribosomal RNA". It matches the Rfam family "Bacterial small subunit ribosomal RNA", at positions 28 to 507 of the family's 1533-position model. The record is from RNAcentral.